This 440-nucleotide ribosomal RNA is filed under the name uncultured bacterium. RNAcentral's name for it is "partial 16S ribosomal RNA". It matches the Rfam family "Bacterial small subunit ribosomal RNA", at positions 338 to 795 of the family's 1533-position model. The record is from RNAcentral.
CCUACGGGAGGCAGCAGUGGGGAAUAUUGCACAAUGGGGGAAACCCUGAUGCAGCGACGCCGCGUGAGUGAAGAAGUAUUUCGGUACGUAAAGCUCUAUCAGCAGGGAAGAAAAUGACGGUACCUGACUAAGAAGCCCCGGCUAACUACGUGCCAGCAGCCGCGGUAAUACGUAGGGGGCAAGCGUUAUCCGGAUUUACUGGGUGUAAAGGGAGCGUAGACGGCAGCGCAAGUCUGGAGUGAAAUCCCAUGGCUUAACCAUGGAACUGCUUUGGAAACUGUGCAGCUAGAGUGCAGGAGAGGUAAGCGGAAUUCCUAGUGUAGCGGUGAAAUGCGUAGAGAUUAGGAGGAACACCAGUGGCGAAGGCGGCUUACUGGACUGUAACUGACGUUGAGGCUCGAAAGCGUGGGGAGCAAACAGGAUUAGAUACCCCGGUAGUC